CAGUAGCCGCGGUAAUACAGAGGGUGCGAGCGUUAAUCGGAUUUACUGGGCGUAAAGCGUGAGUAGGCGGCUAAUUGAGUCGGAUGUGAAAUCCCCGAGCUUAACUUGGGAAUUGCAUUCGAUACUGGUUAGCUAGAGUGUGGGAGAGGAUGGUAGAAUUCCAGGUGUAGCGGUGAAAUGCGUAGAGAUCUGGAGGAAUACCGAUGGCGAAGGCAGCCAUCUGGCCUAACACUGACGCUGAGGUACGAAAGCAUGGGGAGCAAACAGGAUUAGAUACCCCAGUAGUCCCUGUCUCUUAUAC
This 301-nucleotide ribosomal RNA is filed under the name uncultured bacterium. RNAcentral describes it as "partial 16S ribosomal RNA". It matches the Rfam family "Bacterial small subunit ribosomal RNA", at positions 509 to 807 of the family's 1533-position model. The record is from RNAcentral.